This 1115-nucleotide long non-coding RNA is filed under the name Lupinus angustifolius (narrow-leaved blue lupine). Its description in RNAcentral is "long non-coding RNA (LANG_LNC003750)". Lineage: Eukaryota; Viridiplantae; Streptophyta; Magnoliopsida; Fabales; Fabaceae. The record is from RNAcentral.
CUAUAAAAUUUAUAAAAAUACAAAAAAUAUUCAAAACAAUAAAAUUUAAAAAAAUAUCAUUUUAUAAUGUUUCAGAACCAAGUUUAUCUUCGAAUCAUCAUCAACUUGUUAUUUAACGGGUUUAUCCUUAGACACCAUGAUGUCUUUUGGGUUGUUUCUUGCUAUUUUGUGAAAACCAAGUUAUCCCUGAACGCGUGUUCCGUUACAAAUAUUGUCAUAACCGGCGCAAAUACUAAUUACAAUCAUUGGAAAGAGUAAGCAUGAAAGGAAAUACGAUGUUUAUUCUAUAAGGAAAAUUAUUAACACUUGCUGGAAAGUUUUUUUUUGCUGCAUUAUUCUGGGAACCAGCCAAACAUAGGAACAAAUAUGAUACAGGUCCUGAGAUUCACUGCAGUAUUCUAAAAUUGGGGUUUGGGGUGAUAAAGCAAGGUGGGAUUUUAACCAUAUGGUAAAUCAGUGUAAAAUUGUGCCCAAUAUCAAGCAUUAUGGUUAAUCUCAUUGACCAUUCCUCAAUGCUAUAUAUUAAGUAUUCACGUAUGCUAAAGUUUGGUCUCUAUCCAUUCAAUUUCAAAAAUCUGCUUCACAUAUCUAACUGUUGCAUCAACACUAUCAGACUCUAAACCCUUUCACCAGGGACGCGAUCAGCUUUCGCCCUGUAGGAGAUGAGGCGAAGGUGGCUAAUUGUUGGAUGAAAAUCAGAGAACCAAUCGAAGGAACUUCCUCCACUUUUUUCUCAAACAGAUCAAAUUUGCUUAAUAUCAACAUGAGAACCGUUCGCUCAAGUAGCUCUUCAAGUUGGAGUUUUGGACCGUGAAAUUAAGUUGCAUGAAAAGGCUCUAUGCUUGAAGGUAAUAAUAGACUUGACAAGAAACAAAAUCAAUAGUCGGAUAGUAUGAAUAUUGUCCUUGACAAAAAUUUUAUAAUUUGUUAUAAAGAGAAAUGAAUGAAAACAACCAUUACUCACCAAUCAGCAGAAUUUAAAAAGAGUGGAAUUGGAAGAUGCAAACUAAAAAGCAUACUCAAAUUAAAAGGGCAAUCAGCAAAAUUCUAAGGGGUUUUUAGCAGAUGUGAGGCAGCUUUACUGUUUCAGUUACAAGCAUUAGCAAACAAAGAAC